This 781-nucleotide ribosomal RNA is filed under the name uncultured Dialister sp. RNAcentral's name for it is "bacterial SSU rRNA". It matches the Rfam family "Bacterial small subunit ribosomal RNA", at positions 28 to 776 of the family's 1533-position model. Lineage: Bacteria; Bacillati; Bacillota; Negativicutes; Veillonellales; Veillonellaceae. The record is from RNAcentral.
GACGAACACUGGCGGCGUGCUUAACACAUGCAAGUCGAACGAAAAGACGGAAAGAGCUUGCUCUUUUCAGAAUUGAGUGGCAAACGGGUGAGUAACACGUAAACAACCUGCCUUCAGGAUGGGGACAACAGACGGAAACGACUGCUAAUACCGAAUAAGUUCCAAGAGCCGCAUGGCCCAUGGAAGAAAAGGUGGCCUCUACCUGUAAGCUAUCGCCUGAAGAGGGGUUUGCGUCUGAUUAGCUGGUUGGAGGGGUAACGGCCCACCAAGGCGACGAUCAGUAGCCGGUCUGAGAGGAUGAACGGCCACACUGGAACUGAGACACGGUCCAGACUCCUACGGGAGGCAGCAGUGGGGAAUCUUCCGCAAUGGGCGAAAGCCUGACGGAGCAACGCCGCGUGAGUGAUGACGGCCUUCGGGUUGUAAAACUCUGUGAUCCGGGACGAAAAGGCAGAGUGCGAAGAACAAACCGCAUUGACGGUACCGGAAAAGCAAGCCACGGCUAACUACGUGCCAGCAGCCGCGGUAAUACGUAGGUGGCAAGCGUUGUCCGGAAUUAUUGGGCGUAAAGCGCGCGCAGGCGGCUUCCCAAGUCCCUCUUAAAAGUGCGGGGCUUAACCCCGUGAUGGGAAGGAAACUGGGAAGCUGGAGUAUCGGAGAGGAAAGUGGAAUUCCUAGUGUAGCGGUGAAAUGCGUAGAGAUUAGGAAGAACACCGGUGGCGAAGGCGACUUUCUGGACGAAAACUGACGCUGAGGCGCGAAAGCGUGGGGAGCAAACAGG